GAGUUUGAUCCUGGCUCAGAAUCAACGCUGGCGGCGUGCCUAACACAUGCAAGUCGAACGAGAAAGUGGAGCAAUCCAUGAGUAAAGUGGCGACCGGUGAGUAACACGUGACUAACCUACCUUCGAGUGGGGGAUAACCUCGGGAAACCGGGGCUAAUACCGCAUAACAUCCUUGGAGUGGAAACUCUGGGGAUCAAAGGAGCAAUUCGCUGGAAGAGGGGGUCGCGGCUGAUUAGCUAGUUGGCGGGUAACGGCCCACCAAGGCUUUGAUCGGUAGCCGGCCUGAGAGGGCGCACGGCCACACUGGAACUGAAACACGGUCCAGACUCCUACGGGAGGCAGCAGUGGGGAAUUUUGCGCAAUGGGGGAAACCCUGACGCAGCAACGCCGCGUGGAGGAUGAAGUCCCUUGGGACGUAAACUCCUUUCGACCGGGACGAUAAUGACGGUACCGGUGGAAGAAGCCCCGGCUAACUUCGUGCCAGCAGCCGCGGUAAUACGAGGGGGGCAAGCGUUGUUCGGAAUUAUUGGGCGUAAAGGGCGCGUAGGCGGUGCGGUAAGUCACCUGUGAAAUCUUCGGGCUUAACUCGGAGCCUGCAGGCGAAACUGCCGUGCUCGAGGGUGGGAGAGGUGCGUGGAAUUCCCGGGUACGGGAAAUGCGUAAAUAUCGG
This 670-nucleotide ribosomal RNA is filed under the name uncultured Actinomycetes bacterium. RNAcentral's name for it is "bacterial SSU rRNA". It matches the Rfam family "Bacterial small subunit ribosomal RNA", at positions 9 to 700 of the family's 1533-position model. The record is from RNAcentral. Lineage: Bacteria; Bacillati; Actinomycetota; Actinomycetes.